This 85-nucleotide transfer RNA is filed under the name Candidatus Mancarchaeum acidiphilum. RNAcentral describes it as "tRNA-Leu". It matches the Rfam family "tRNA". From Rfam's summary of the family: Transfer RNA (tRNA) molecules are approximately 80 nucleotides in length. Their secondary structure includes four short double-helical elements and three loops (D, anti-codon, and T loops). Further hydrogen bonds mediate the characteristic L-shaped molecular structure. tRNAs have two regions of fundamental functional importance: the anti-codon, which is responsible for specific mRNA codon recognition, and the 3' end, to which the tRNAs corresponding amino acid is attached (by aminoacyl-tRNA synthetases). tRNAs cope with the degeneracy of the genetic code in two manners: having more than one tRNA (with a specific anti-codon) for a particular amino acid; and 'wobble' base-pairing, i.e. permitting non-standard base-pairing at the 3rd anti-codon position. Lineage: Archaea; Nanobdellati; Microcaldota. The record is from RNAcentral.
GCAGGGGUGGCAGAGCUUGGUCAAAUGCGCAGGACUAAGGAUCCUGUGUCUUAGGACUACGUGAGUUCAAAUCUCACCCCCUGCA